RNAcentral lists this ribosomal RNA (349 nucleotides) under uncultured bacterium. RNAcentral describes it as "bacterial SSU rRNA". It matches the Rfam family "Bacterial small subunit ribosomal RNA", at positions 530 to 877 of the family's 1533-position model. The record is from RNAcentral.
GGGUGCAAGCGUUAUUCGGAAUUAUUGGGCGUAAAGGGCGCGUAGGCGGUUUUGUMAGUCAGAUGUGAAAGCCCCGGGCUCAACCCUGGAAGUGCAUUUSAAACAGCCAGACUUGAGUAUGGGAGAGGAAAGUGGAAUUCCUGGUGUAGAGGUGAAAUUCGUAGAUAUCAGGAGGAACACCGAUGGCGAAGGCAGCUUUCUGGACCAAUACUGACGCUSAGGCGCGAAAGCGUGGGUAGCGAACAGGAUUAGAUACCCUGGUAGUCCACGCAGUAAACGAUGUUCACUAGGUGUAUCGGAUAUUAACACCUUCAGUGCCCAAGCUAACGCRUUAAGUGAUCCGCCUGGG